RNAcentral lists this ribosomal RNA (253 nucleotides) under uncultured bacterium. RNAcentral describes it as "partial 16S ribosomal RNA". It matches the Rfam family "Bacterial small subunit ribosomal RNA", at positions 524 to 776 of the family's 1533-position model. The record is from RNAcentral.
UACGUAGGGCGCAAGCGUUGUCCGGAAUUAUUGGGCGUAAAGAGCUCGUAGGCGGUUGGUCGCGUCUGCCGUGAAAACCCAUGGCUUAACUGUGGGCUUGCGGUGGAUACGGGCCGACUUGAGGUAGGUAGGGGAGAAUGGAAUUCCCGGUGUAGCGGUGAAAUGCGCAGAUAUCGGGAGGAACACCGGUGGCGAAGGCGGGUCUCUGGGCCGAUACUGACGCUGAGGAGCGAAAGCGUGGGGAGCGAACAGG